This is a long non-coding RNA of Astatotilapia calliptera (eastern happy), 1096 nucleotides long. The record is from Ensembl. NCBI's taxonomy places the organism in Eukaryota, Metazoa, Chordata, Actinopteri, Cichliformes, Cichlidae.
CAGAAACACUGGAAAUCUGUCCCGUCAUUAAGGAAGCAGAUAGCCUCAGUUAGAGGACAGUGACAGCCUGAUUUUAUCCGCCUGUCUGUGAGCCUGACAUCACUGACAGGCUGCACAUCACACACAAACUAAACUUUAUUAAUCCCAAAAGUUACAGCAGCCAAAAACCAUCAACACAACCUCUGACAGAAGAGCUGCAACCAGAACAGCUCAGUAACAUAAACACGAUUAAAACCAAAACCAGAACAAGUUAAAAACACACAAAAAAAUCAAAAAGUGAAAUAAAAAUAAAUACUAGAGUUCAAUAACAAACCUAAACGCCCAGUUAUAAUCAGCUGCUCAGUUUAUGCAGCACAUCAAAUAUUUACUGUAGUUAUGACAGCUGACAUCAUCGGUGUCAUUCUGAACUUCACAUUAAACUGGAGCAGCACAUCUGUGCAGAGCCUCCUUCAUUAAACUCAUUAAUUACUCAUCAGAAACCCGCACAGUCCACGCCGGACAUAACCGGCAGACUUUAUGGGGAGAAAAAAAGAAAAAAAAAUCAACAGCUGGACUGCACACUUUAACUUUACCGCUACAAAAGCGAAGCUGCUGGUUGGAAAUGCAGCUGUGCUCGCGGUGCAGAUGUUUUUUCCCCGGUGGCGGUGUUCUCCGUUCAGACGGACAAACGGCGGCAUCUGGAAAACCGUCAGAGCUCCGGUCUCCAAUCACAGCCGCACAGAUGUGACGUUAGCCUGCUAGCUAGCCCCGUCGGGCCGCCGCCGACGUUAAACUCACCGUUUUCAGUUGACACCUGAGCCCGUUACAGUCCGGCCUCUGACCGAGCGGAGGGCGGCGGGUCCUGCCGGUUCAUCCAGGCCCUGAAGUUUGGGGAGCAUUUUUGAGAAAAAGCUCCUCGCAGCUGAUCUCCGCAGCAGCAGACAGCCACACGUCGCCUUUAAGAGCGACCCAGACAGACGAGCCAGACUUUGGCCGACACAAAAUAAACUAAAAAAAACCCUGAAAACACUCAAAUAUGCUGCUCAUACAUCACUCCUGCUGAAAACUACCGUGUUACAAACAAACAACUAUAUCUGACUGCAGGCUGGGUUUAAAC